RNAcentral lists this ribosomal RNA (437 nucleotides) under uncultured bacterium. RNAcentral describes it as "partial 16S ribosomal RNA". It matches the Rfam family "Bacterial small subunit ribosomal RNA", at positions 29 to 507 of the family's 1533-position model. The record is from RNAcentral.
AGCGAACGCUGGCGGCAGGCUUAACACAUGCAAGUCGAGCGGGCAUCCUUGUGGUGUCAGCGGCAGACGGGUGAGUAACGCGUGGGAACGUGCCCUUCGGUUCGGAAUAACUCAGGGAAACUUGAGCUAAUACCGGAUACGUGCGAGAGCAGAAAGGUUUAUCUGCCGAAGGAUCGGCCCGCGUCUGAUUAGCUAGUUGGUGAGGUUAUGGCUCACCAAGGCGACGAUCAGUAGCUGGUCUGAGAGGAUGAUCAGCCACACUGGGACUGAGACACGGCCCAGACUCCUACGGGAGGCCGCAGUGGGGAAUAUUGGACAAUGGGGGCAACCCUGAUCCAGCCAUGCCGCGUGAGUGAUGACGGCCUUAGGGUUGUAAAGCUCUUUUCUCCGGGACGAUAAUGACGGUACCGGAGGAAUAAGCCCCGGCUAACUUCGUG